CUCGUAGACUCCUACGGGAGGCAGCAGUGGGGAAUAUUGCACAAUGGGCGCAAGCCUGAUGCAGCCAUGCCGCGUGUAUGAAGAAGGCCUUCGGGUUGUAAAGUACUUUCAGCAGUGAGGAAGGUUCAUGCGUUAAUAGCGUAUGGAUUUGACGUUAGCUGCAGAAGAAGCACCGGCUAACUCCGUGCCAGCAGCCGCGGUAAUACGGAGGGUGCGAGCGUUAAUCGGAAUUACUGGGCGUAAAGCGCAUGCAGGUGGUUUGUUAAGUCAGAUGUGAAAGCCCCGGGGCUCAACCUCGGAAUUGCAUUUGAAACUGGCAGACUAGAGUACUGUAGAGGGGGUAGAAUUUCAGGUGUAGCGGUGAAAUGCGUAGAGAUCUGAAGGAAUACCGGUGGCGAAGGCGGCCCCCUGGACAGAUACUGACACUCAGAUGCGAAAGCGUGGGGAGCAAACAGGAUUAGAUACCCUGGUAG
RNAcentral lists this ribosomal RNA (473 nucleotides) under uncultured bacterium. Its description in RNAcentral is "bacterial SSU rRNA". It matches the Rfam family "Bacterial small subunit ribosomal RNA", at positions 328 to 793 of the family's 1533-position model. The record is from RNAcentral.